GGAAAGCAUGAAUGGUGUUGCCAUAAUUCCUGCAUUGUUACUUUAUAGAAAAACAAUGAAGGAAAAGUGUCAUUCCUGGCUUAUAAUUCAUUAAGCGAAGCAGAGCUAGGACAUGCCACCUUGACAGCAAUUCACGUAUCAUAUCUAAAGAAUGACAAUCAUGUACAAAGUGAUACACUAGCAUCAAGGAUCUCGUUCUAUUCUUACAUUAGGAUGUUCAGUGGGAGACCCGAAGAAUUGAACUCUGUUGCAAAGUUCCUCACAGAUGCCAUUGAAUUGAGGUCCAAUUCCAUGAUAUCAACUUUGGCAGAUGGGAUUUCUUUUACUAUAGCUUCUUUGAUAGAUCUUCCAGCAGC
Molecule: long non-coding RNA, 356 nt
Filed under: Manihot esculenta (cassava)
Lineage: Eukaryota; Viridiplantae; Streptophyta; Magnoliopsida; Malpighiales; Euphorbiaceae
Description: long non-coding RNA (MESC_LNC008265)
Source: RNAcentral